GGAAUCUUCCACAAUGGGCGCAAGCCUGAUGGAGCAACACCGCGUGAGUGAAGAAGGGUUUCGGCUCGUAAAGCUCUGUUGUUAGAGAAGAACGUGCGUGAGAGUAACUGUUCACGCAGUGACGGUAUCUAACCAGAAAGUCACGGCUAACUACGUGCCAGCAGCCGCGGUAAUACGUAGGUGGCAAGCGUUGUCCGGAAUUACUGGGUGUAAAGGGAGCGCAGGCGGGGAAGCAAGUCAGUGGUGAAAUGCAUGGGCUUAACCCAUGAACUGCCAUUGAAACUGUUUUUCUUGAGUGGAUCAGAGGCAAGCGGAAUUCCGAGUGUAGCGGUGAAAUGCGUAGAUAUUCGGAGGAACACCAGUGGCGAAGGCGGCUUGCUGGGGUCUAACUGACGCUGAGGCUCGAAAGUGUGGGGAGCAAACA
Molecule: ribosomal RNA, 424 nt
Filed under: uncultured bacterium
Lineage: Bacteria
Description: bacterial SSU rRNA
Rfam family: Bacterial small subunit ribosomal RNA
Source: RNAcentral